Molecule: ribosomal RNA, 357 nt
Filed under: uncultured bacterium
Lineage: Bacteria
Description: bacterial SSU rRNA
Rfam family: Bacterial small subunit ribosomal RNA
Source: RNAcentral
GAUGAACGCUAGCGGCAGGCCUAACACAUGCAAGUCGAGGGGUAGAGUUCUUUGGGACUUGAGACCGGCGCACGGGUGCGUAACGCGUAUGCAAUCUACCUUAUACAGGGGAAUAGCCCAGAGAAAUUUGGAUUAAUGCCCCAUAGUGUUAUCGAAUCGCAUGGUUUGAUAACUAAAGUUCCAACGGUAUAAGAUGAGCAUGCGUCCCAUUAGUUAGUUGGUAAGGUAACGGCUUACCAAGACAAUGAUGGGUAGGGUCCUGAGAGGGAGAUCCCCCANACUGGUACUGAGACACGGACCAGACUCCUACGGGAGGCAGCAGUGAGGAAUAUUGGUCAAUGGGCGCAAGCCUGAACC